AAUAUAUUUGAUUCUGGUUUAACUUAAUUAGGUUUAUGAUAAUUUUACAUGUGAAUUUUUGUGUUUUGGUUAUAUUUAAUUAUUAAUCUAAAUGAUUAAUUAAGUUUAAUCUUUAAUUAAUUAUUUAUUUAUUCGCAGUUUUUAAUUUUAAAUUAUUGUUAAUGUAAGAAAUUAUGAUUUAUUUAUUUGUAUUAUUUAGUUAGCUAAUAAUGUGCCAGCAGCUGCGGUUAAACAUUUGACUAUACUUAAUUUUUUCGAGCUUAACCAUUCAAUUAUUUUAUUAUUAUAAAUUAUAUUUAUUUAUUGAAUUUAGGUGAAAUUUAUUUUAUAUAAAUUAUUUUAUGGUUUUUGUUGAUGGUAAAUUUAUUUUAUUAAACUAGGAUUAGAUACCCUAUUAUUGUAAAUGUAAAUUUAAGCUUUUAUUAUUAAUAGUUUUGGUCUUUAAAUUAAAAGAAUUUGACGGUAAUUAUAUCUUUUCAGAGGAACCUGUCCUUUAAUUGAUAGUCCACGUUAAAUUUUACCUUAAUUUAUUAGUUUGUAUAUCUCUGUUAUUUUUGAAUGUUUUAUUAGAAUUAUUUUCUUUAAUUUAUUUAUUAUUUAUUUAAAUAUAUAUCAGGUCAAGGUGCAGCUAUAUUAAGGCAAGAGAUGGGUUACAUUAAUUUAUUUAAAUUUUGGAUUUAGUUUAUAAUAUGUAUAUUAUCUGAUAAAAUAGGAUUUGAUUGUAACAUUUAUUAUAUAUUAAUUGUGAUAAUUUGCUCUUUAUUAAGUACACAUCGCCCGUCGCUCUCAUUAAUUUAAGAUGAGAUAAGUCGUAACAAAGUAGGCCUAUCGGAAGAUGGGCCUGGAAUUAUU
RNAcentral lists this non-coding RNA (852 nucleotides) under Brachyplatys subaeneus. Lineage: Eukaryota; Metazoa; Arthropoda; Insecta; Hemiptera; Plataspidae. The record is from RNAcentral.